GUUGGACCACAACUCAAUGACAUGUACAUCAUCACCCGUAACUGCAUUGGUGGGCCACCAUCUUGUGAUUGUGCCAACUGUGGAA
This 85-nucleotide small RNA is filed under the name Caenorhabditis elegans. RNAcentral describes it as "Unclassified non-coding RNA Y69E1A.16". The record is from RNAcentral. Lineage: Eukaryota; Metazoa; Nematoda; Chromadorea; Rhabditida; Rhabditidae.